CCUACGGGAGGCAGCAGUGGGGAAUAUUGGGCAAUGGGCGCAAGCCUGACCCAGCAACGCCGCGUGAAGGAAGAAGGCUUUCGGGUUGUAAACUUCUUUUAUCAGGGACGAAGCAAGUGACGGUACCUGAUGAAUAAGCCACGGCUAACUACGGGCCAGCAGCCGCGGUAAUACGUAGGUGGCAAGCGUUACCCGGAUUUACUGGGUGUAAAGGGCGUGUAGGGGGGAGUGCAAGUCAGAUGGGAAAACGACGGGCUCAACCCAUGGCCUGCAUUUGAAACUGUACUUCUGGAGUGCUGGAGAGGCAAUCGGAAUGCCGUGUGUAGCGGUGAAAUGCGUAGAUAUCAGGAGGAACACCGGUGGCGAAGGCGGAUUGCUGGACAGUAACUGACGCUGAGGCGCGAAAGCGUGGGGAGCAAACAGGAUUAGAUACCCGUGUAGUC
Molecule: ribosomal RNA, 443 nt
Filed under: uncultured bacterium
Lineage: Bacteria
Description: partial 16S ribosomal RNA
Rfam family: Bacterial small subunit ribosomal RNA
Source: RNAcentral